GACAGAGGGUGCAAACGUUGUUCGGAAUUACUGGGCGUAAAGCGUGCGCAGGCGGCUUCUCAAGUCAGGGGUGAAAGCCCGAGGCUCAACCUCGGAACUGCCUUCGAUACUGCGGGUCUCGAGUCCGGGAGAGGUGAGUGGAAUUCCUAGUGUAGAGGUGAAAUUCGUAGAUAUUAGGAAGAACACCAGUGGCGAAGGCGGCUCACUGGCCCGGUACUGACGCUGAGGCGCGAAAGCGUGGGGAGCAAACAGG
Molecule: ribosomal RNA, 253 nt
Filed under: uncultured bacterium
Lineage: Bacteria
Description: partial 16S ribosomal RNA
Rfam family: Bacterial small subunit ribosomal RNA
Source: RNAcentral